AGCGGCGGACGGGUGAGUAACGCGUGGGUAACCUGCCCUAUACACACGGAUAACAUACCGAAAGGUAUGCUAAUACGAGAUAAUAUAAGAGAUUCGCAUGGAUUUCUUAUCAAAGCUGAGGCGGUAUAGGAUGGACCCGCGUCUGAUUAGCUAGUUGGUAAGGUAACGGCUUACCAAGGCGACGAUCAGUAGCCGACCUGAGAGGGUGAUCGGCCACAUUGGAACUGAGACACGGUCCAAACUCCUACGGGAGGCAGCAGUGGGGUAUAUUGCACAAUGGGCGAAAGCCUGAUGCAGCAACGCCGCGUGAGUGAUGAAGGCCUUCGGGUCGUAAAACUCUGUCCUCAAGGAAGAUAAUGACGGUACUUGAGGAGGAAGCCCCGGCUAACUACGUGCCAGCAGCCGCGGUAAUACGUAGGGGGCUAGCGUUAUCCGGAUUUACUGGGCGUAAAGGGUGCGUAGGUGGUCUCUUAAGUCAGGAGUGAAAGGCUACGGCUUAACCGUAGUAAGCUCUUGAAACUGGGAGACUUGAGUGCAGGAGAGGAAAGUGGAAUUCCUAGUGUAGCGGUGAAAUGCGUAGAUAUUAGGAGGAACACCAGUAGCGAAGGCGGCUUUCUGGACUGUAACUGACACUGAGGCACGAAAGCGUGGGGAGCAAACAGGAUUAGAUACCCUGGUAGUCCACGCCGUAAACGAUGAGUACUAGGUGU
Molecule: ribosomal RNA, 710 nt
Filed under: uncultured bacterium
Lineage: Bacteria
Description: bacterial SSU rRNA
Rfam family: Bacterial small subunit ribosomal RNA
Source: RNAcentral